Long non-coding RNA from Oncorhynchus keta (chum salmon), 374 nucleotides. RefSeq lists it as uncharacterized. The transcript has 3 exons. NCBI's taxonomy places the organism in Eukaryota, Metazoa, Chordata, Actinopteri, Salmoniformes, Salmonidae. The record is from RefSeq and is a predicted model, not a curated record.
GUAUGGACUAUCAAUACAGGUACUGUAUGUAGAACCAUAGUAAAGACCAGUAUGGACUAUCAAUACAGAUACUGUAUGUAGAACCAUAGUAAAGACCAGUAUGGACUAUCAAUACAGACACUGUAUGUAGAACCAUAGUAAAGACCAGUAUGGACUAUCAAUACAGGUACUGUAUGUAGAACCAUAGUAAAGACCAGUAUGGACUAUCAAUACAGGUACUGUAUGUAGAACCAUAGUAAAGACCAGUAUGGACUAUCAAUACAGAUACUGUAUGUAGAACCAUAGUAAAGACCCGUAUGGACUAUCAAUACAGAUACUGUAUGUAGAACCAUAGUAAAGACCAGUAUGGACUAUCAAUACAGAUACUGUAUGUA